This 344-nucleotide long non-coding RNA is filed under the name Phoenix dactylifera (date palm). RNAcentral's name for it is "long non-coding RNA (PDAC_LNC007222)". The record is from RNAcentral. Lineage: Eukaryota; Viridiplantae; Streptophyta; Magnoliopsida; Arecales; Arecaceae.
UGAGUAACAAAAGGAUAAACAGGAAGAGUCUUGAUUCAUAGUUGCGGUAGAAAGGAGAAUUAUGAUUAGUAUGAUUGAGCUUGUGUCAUUUUUUCUUUUUAAUGACGUGAAAUACCCAUUCACCCUUUGCUGGGUUUGAGAUAAAAUUACUUGAGCAUGGCUUGUCUGUACUUGCUUCACCAGUUCUUAUGCACGUACUCGCAAUUUUUUUUAUACUUCUGGUGGAAGGGAUCCUUAUGAUCCAUUUGGUGGAUAUCGUGUCAUGUCUUUUAUGAUGUGAAAUACUACAUCCUCCACUGUGUGAUCUAAAAUUUCUUGAGCAAGGUUUGCCUCUACCUUAUUUU